AUUGAACGCUGGCGGCAGGCCUAACACAUGCAAGUCGAACGGUAACAGGAAGCAGCUUGCUGCUUCGCUGACGAGUGGCGGACGGGUGAGUAAUGUCUGGGAAGCUGCCUGAUGGAGGGGGAUAACUACUGGAAACGGUAGCUAAUACCGCAUAAUGUCGCAAGACCAAAGAGGGGGACCUUCGGGCCUCUUGCCAUCGGAUGUGCCCAGAUGGGAUUAGCUUGUUGGUGGGGUAACGGCUCACCAAGGCGACGAUCCCUAGCUGGUCUGAGAGGAUGACCAGCCACACGGGAACUGAGACACGGUCCAGACUCCUACGGGAGGCAGCAGUGGGGAAUAUUGCACAAUGGGCGCAAGCCUGAUGCAGCAAUGCCGCGUGUAUGAAGAAGGCCUUCGGGUUGUAAAGUACUUUCAGCGGGGAGGAAGGGAGUAAAGUUAAUACCUUGGCUCAUUGACGUUACCCGCAGAAGAAGCACCGGCUAACUCCGUG
RNAcentral lists this ribosomal RNA (490 nucleotides) under uncultured bacterium. RNAcentral's name for it is "partial 16S ribosomal RNA". It matches the Rfam family "Bacterial small subunit ribosomal RNA", at positions 30 to 507 of the family's 1533-position model. The record is from RNAcentral.